RNAcentral lists this non-coding RNA (26 nucleotides) under Homo sapiens (human). The record is from RNAcentral. Lineage: Eukaryota; Metazoa; Chordata; Mammalia; Primates; Hominidae.
UCUUCCUCUUUUCGGUGCUCCUGUUC